RNAcentral lists this long non-coding RNA (236 nucleotides) under Gossypium barbadense (sea-island cotton). Its description in RNAcentral is "long non-coding RNA (GBAR_LNC008365)". Lineage: Eukaryota; Viridiplantae; Streptophyta; Magnoliopsida; Malvales; Malvaceae. The record is from RNAcentral.
CAACUACUCAGGGAUCUGAAGGUCUCGGCUAGGAUAGUCGGGACAGGGUUGAUUCCUUGUUUUAACCUUUCAAAGAAAUCGACUACUGCAACUUCAAGAUGUCCGAGAACUUUCGGGAAAAUGAUCAAACCGUAAAUGGCCAAAGCGAAUAGAUUUAUCCUUUUCAACAUGUCGGGAUGGUUCAGAACCAAAUGUCGUAGGGCAGACCAUGGAAUACAAAUGGUUUCAUUCUUCUU